AGUGAACGCUGGCGGUAGGCCUAACACAUGCAAGUCGAACGGCAGCACAGUAAGAGCUUGCUCUUACGGGUGGCGAGUGGCGGACGGGUGAGGAAUACAUCGGAAUCUACUUUUUCGUGGGGGAUAACGUAGGGAAACUUACGCUAAUACCGCAUACGACCUACGGGUGAAAGCAGUGGAUCUUCGGACCUUGCGCGAUUGAAUGAGCCGAUGUCGGAUUAGCUAGUUGGCGGGGUAAAGGCCCACCAAGGCGACGAUCCGUAGCUGGUCUGAGAGGAUGAUCAGCCACACUGGAACUGAGACACGGUCCAGACUCCUACGGGAGGCAGCAGUGGGGAAUAUUGGACAAUGGGCGCAAGACUGAUCCAGCAAUACCGCGUGGGUGAAGAAGGCCUUCGGGUUGUAAAGCCCUUUUGUUGGGAAAGAAAAGCAGCAGGUUAAUACCCCGCUGUUCUGACGGUACCCAAAGAAUAAGCACCGGCUAACUUCGUG
This 492-nucleotide ribosomal RNA is filed under the name uncultured bacterium. RNAcentral's name for it is "partial 16S ribosomal RNA". It matches the Rfam family "Bacterial small subunit ribosomal RNA", at positions 29 to 507 of the family's 1533-position model. The record is from RNAcentral.